This is a long non-coding RNA of Leptopilina boulardi, 2310 nucleotides long. RefSeq lists it as uncharacterized. The transcript has 4 exons. The record is from RefSeq and is a predicted model, not a curated record. NCBI's taxonomy places the organism in Eukaryota, Metazoa, Arthropoda, Insecta, Hymenoptera, Figitidae.
UUAUUUAACCUUGAAGUUUAGACCUAUGACUUUCUUAUAAUAAUAUUUUUUUCCCCGGGGAUGGAUUAUUUCUUAUAUUUUAAUAUAAUUUAAAUAAAAUCCUUUUUGCUUUAUUUCUCCUUUUUAUUGAUUGUCACAUAUUGAGAAGAGGAGUCUUUAAUUCUAGAGUGGAAACGUAAUGUGUAAAUAUUAUGAGUGCAUGAAGGAUCCUUCAAGGAUCUUUGGUUAUAAGGCACACCUCCUUCUUUAUAACUCGAUACUGAAAUAUCUAUAGAACAAAUAGCGUGUCACUUCCAAACGGUUCAAAGUCUAACGAAUUCCAGUUCAUAUUGAAUUUAUAGAUUUUUUUUUUUUUAAUUAUUUACAUUGCAUGCGUUGAGAGACAUUCAAUUCUAUUGUUUAUCUUAAAAAUGCUUUUAUUUUUAUUUUCUUGUUUUUGUGCAAAGAAUUAGAAAAAAUAACUUCAAAAAAAAAUUUUCACAUUUCCUGCUGAGUUAUUAAAAAAAAAAAAAAUUUUUUAUUUUAGAAAUAACGGAACGAUGAAUAUUAAAUGGAAUGAAACGAUGUUUAUUUAAUGGAUUAAUAUUCAUUGAUGGAAUUUUAUGGAGAGUUAUAUAGUGAUGUUUGAAGGGGGGUAAUAAAAGUGAAAAUUGCGAAUUGAGCAGAAAACUGAGGUCGACAGUGUGUGGUAUAUUUUACCGGCCAUUCGUCAUUGAUCUAGGGAGAGUCUUAUAACGAGCUGGUAACGAGCUACUCAAAAACCAAUGCGCCAAGGAUCAGAGGUUGAAAUCGGACAAUCAUUCAAAUGUGCUGACAGAAGUUCCAACACAAAGGCAAAUCCAAUUUGUUCGAUGACAAAUUUUUGGUUAAAAGCAUUGGUCCAGAGGCGUGUGUAAUCCCUCCCCCCAAUGAAAAGAAUUAAAGAAACUGGUAGUCGUCGAGAUAAUCUCUCGUGUUCAAGGAAAAAGAAAGAAGAAAAAAAAAAAGGAGGCCCAGCAUCUCUCACUUAAUUACAAUUUUUGAAGACCGCAGGGAACUGUGUGUAUUUUUCCUGUCAAAACUUUGUGGCCACUUGAGGGAGAGAGACGAUUGAAAACUAUUGUGAAAAAAGGUUCAUAUUUCGAAAUCGUGUGCGGAAAAAAAAGAAGAAGAACCUGUCGAUUAGACAUUAAAGGGACACAAGUCCCUUUUGUGUUUGGAAUAUGUCCAGUAACUUUCACCCAACAUUUUGAUGUGAAUUGGUUAUUAAACUUUGGCUGUCGCAUUCACAUGAUUCAUUGCGCACGUUGUCGUUUUGUGCUAUUUCGACCUCGAGAAAUGAGAGAUUUGAAUCUAUGAUUUCCGGGUGAUGAAAUUUUGAUGCCUAAUCGAGUUUCUUUACUCAAUUAAGGCAGACAGCGUCUCAUAUAAUUCCCAAGGAUAAAUUUAGGGAAUUCUGUCAAAAUAUAAUGACUUAUUUUUAUAAACGAAUGCGGAAAAAGAUUCACUUAAGGAACCGGAAGUCGAUUUUCCUCAUGAAACGAGUCAAACGGUUUGACGAUUAAUUUCCGCUGGUAGCACAAUCGAACGAGCACAAUGUUGAUCAAGCGUUGUUCCUUUAGGAUUUCUUAGGCACUUCCGGAUUUUUUUUUUUUUUUUUUUUUUCUUUCUUGUGAAAAAGGGUAGAAAAAAUAUUUUUUUUCGGUGAGAAUUAUCAAAUGAACGAUAAUGGCGAGUGACGAUUAUGAAGAAGAAGAAGAAGAAGGUAUUCACGAUAAACACCAUGCAAGUACUGUCGUCGCGACAACGCGAGAAUCUUACUGUGAGGAGUAAAGAGGUAGAAAGAGGGAUCGAGUGGAGUUGCGAUUGGUAGAGCUCUCUCAGGUGUGUUUCCACCACGUGUGUGAAUACAACGUUUGUAUUUUCUAAUGUUAAUGUCAGGUUCCAAUGCGACUGCAAAGAGGACCAAAGAAAUCUUGAUAGGUCAUUGUCUCCAAUUUGCAAACUAUAUAUAUAUAUAUAUAUAUGUGUGUGUGUGUGUGUUUUCUGAGUUACUAUAUAUACUGAUAAUAAUUUGACUUAUAAUGCUUGCCUUCUCCACUUUUUUUAAUCUUCAAAUAUUUUAUAGUUUGAAAAAAAACUAAGAGAUAAAACAAAAACAAAAAAAAAACAUAGUAAUCAACUGUUUUUGAUGGAAAUGAUGAAAAUUGAAAGAAUUUUUACAAAUGGAAAAAAAUUGAUAUAUACAUAUAUAUAUAUAUAUAUUAUUUUUAGGCGCAGAUAAUGAUUAAUUCAAAAAUAAUAAAUUAAUAAAAAUUAUCAUUUUCUUUA